This 496-nucleotide ribosomal RNA is filed under the name uncultured bacterium. RNAcentral describes it as "partial 16S ribosomal RNA". It matches the Rfam family "Bacterial small subunit ribosomal RNA", at positions 30 to 523 of the family's 1533-position model. The record is from RNAcentral.
AUUGAACGCUGGCGGAAUGCUUUACACAUGCAAGUCGAACGGUAGAGGGGGCAACCCCUCGAGAGUGGCGAACGGGUGAGUAAUAUAUCGGAACGUGCCCAGUCGUGGGGGAUAACGUAGCGAAAGUUACGCUACUUCCGCAUACGAUCUAAGGAUGAAAGCGGGGGAUCGCAAGACCUCGCGCGAUUGGAGCGGCCGAUAUCAGAAUAGGUAGUUGGUGGGGUAAAGGCUCACCAAGCCAACGAUCUGUAGCUGGUCUGAGAGGACGACCAGCCACACUGGAACUGAGACACGGUCCAGACUCCUACGGGAGGCAGCAGUGGGGAAUUUUGGACAAUGGACGCAAGUCUGAUCCAGCCAUUCCGCGUGCAGGAUGAAGGCCCUCGGGUUGUAAACUGCUUUUGUACGGAACGAAAAGGUCUCUCUUAAUACGGGGGGCUCAUGACGGUACCGUAAGAAUAAGCACCGGCUAACUACGUGCCAGCCGCCGCCGUAA